GGAGGGAUCAUCAAAGGAUAUUGUCUUUUAUACUAAAAGGGAAAGGGGGGUUAGUAUAAUAGCCCUCCUUUUUCCCUUUUCAAACAAACGAUCACAACUAUAUGCAAUAAAACAAAAGGGUAAAUCGGAUUGGUGCGGGGGAAACUUUACGAUUGGACACAAAUGGAAAAAGUGGUUGCCUGAUAUAUAAAAUGUGCAAUUUCUGGAUGAAAUGGUAAUAAAAAGAUACAACUUUCAACAACGGAUCUCUUGGCUCUCACAUCGAUGAAGAACAUAGCAAAGUGUGAAAAUUAAUGUGAAUUGCAGAAUUCAGUGAAUCAUUGAGUUUUUGAACGCAUCUUGCACUUCUUGGUAUUCCAGGGAGUAUGCCUGGUUGAGUAAUGUGAAUACCAUUGAAUCAGACCCUCUUUCCAUAAAAGGAAGCAGCGGGGGUUUGGAGUUGAGUUUUUACCUUGGUUCGCUUGUUGUUGCGCACACAAGGUUCACUUGAAAUGGAGGGAAGGACAAAAAAGGCAGCAGCAGUAAUUUUCCCGAUUUGGAUUUGCCGGAUGUAUGCAUGUGCAUGCAUACGAUGGCAAGAGAAAAGAGGGGAGGGAGAUUGCAACAACAACAACAACAACAACAAUGACUUGAGGAAUAUCAUCGUCAAAGUCUUGCUUGGUUGUAUCUGCUGCUUUGUUUUUCCACAACUAGGGAAUAUGGGAAAAGGGGAGGUGUGUCUCGUCUACUACUGCUACUCACAGCCUCUUUUGGCGGUGGGUAUGUAGGUGGGGGGAUACAGCAACCCAUAACCAUCAUUAUCAUUCUCAACUCAGGCAAGACUACCCGCUGAAUUUAAGCAUAUAAAUAAGCGGAGGAAAAGAAACUAACCAGGAUUCCCUUAGUAACUGCGAGUGAAGCGGGAAAAGCUCAAAUUUGAAAUCUGCCAGGAACCAUCUUGGCCGAAUUGUAGUUUCGAGAAAGAGUGGCUGAGGGGGACAGUUGGAUGCAAGUUCCUAGGAAUGGGACAUCAGAGAGGGUGACAAUCCCGUCCACCAUCCUUCUGGAUCAUCCCCGCCAAAGGCCCUCUUUUCAAAGAGUCGAGUUGUUUGGGAUUGCAGCUCAAAAUGGGUGGUAAAUUUCAUCUAAAGCUAAAUAUGGGUGAGAGACCGAUAGCGAACAAGUACCGUGAGGGAAAGAUGAAAAGCACUCUGAAGAGAGAGUGAAAAGUACGUGAAAUUGUUGAAAGGGAAACGCUUGAAACCAGUCAAGGUUUGCUAGAAAUCAGGGGGGUUCCCAUGGCCAGGCGGGGUUGGUGGGGAGAUCAGGGGUGUAAAAAUACCUUGAUUUCUACCACUGGCUUCCAGCCUGGUCGUGCCCCUUGCAUGUUUCCAGUGGACAAGUCAGCAUCAGUUUGCCGCUUGGGAAAAAGGUAACAGGAUUUGGUCGGGCUUUCAACGGACCUCGUGUCCUUGAAGGCUUGAGCCUGCUUAUCAUGGGAUACCAAGGGGCAGACUGAGGACAGCAGUACAGGGCAUCGUCUUGGAAUAGGCAAUCGUGCGGUGGCAUGCCUGGCAAACAGCAUUGUCUGAUUGUCAGGGAUGCUAUCACCCACGUCUUGUCAAAUCCAGGCAGGCCGUCUGACUUUGGGAUGUUGACGAAAUGGUUUUAAACGACCCGUCUUGAAACACGGACCAAGGAGUCUAACAUGGAUGCAAGUAUUUGGGUGAUCAGGAAACCCAUGUGCGCAAUGAAAGUGAAUUGGCGAGAGGUAGGAAGUCUAGCCGUAAAAGGCUUGACGGCACUAUCGACCGAUCUUGACUAGCCUCGGCUUGAUGGAUUUGAGUGAGAGCAUGCAUGUUGGGACCCGAAAGAUGGUGAACUAUGCCUGAAUAGGGUGAAGUCAGACGAAAGUCUGAUGGAAGCUCGUAGCGAUUCUGACGUGCAAAUCGAUCGUCAAAUUUGGGUAUAGGGGCGAAAGACUAAUCGAACCAUCUAGUAGCUGGUUCCUGC
This 1992-nucleotide unclassified non-coding RNA is filed under the name uncultured fungus. RNAcentral's name for it is "sequence contains 18S rRNA gene, ITS1, 5.8S rRNA gene, ITS2, 28S rRNA gene". The stretch from base 802 to 1992 matches the Rfam family "Eukaryotic large subunit ribosomal RNA", at positions 1 to 961 of the family's 3401-position model. Lineage: Eukaryota; Fungi. The record is from RNAcentral.